Molecule: long non-coding RNA, 299 nt
Filed under: Apteryx rowi (Okarito brown kiwi)
Lineage: Eukaryota; Metazoa; Chordata; Aves; Apterygiformes; Apterygidae
Description: lncRNA (ENSARWG00000016656.1)
Source: RNAcentral
UGGGAUGCUUUGUGGCUAAGUGCGGAAAUCUCUCGAGUUCGAAUGGGGGAGCCAGGUUCUCACCUGGUUUGGUGCGAAUGGCCCAAACUGGUUGUGCCAGACCAGCCUAGCUUACUCCGUGUAUUGUGAAAUGUUCUUUUGUUAUGAUGUUACUAAAGCCCCUUUUACCAAAUCAAAGAUGAAAACAGACUGAAAGUACCCAGAAACCUGAUUUGCAAGAGUGAGACCAACAGUUUCUGCAGGGCAGAGUGGUGACACUUUGGCAUGAGUAAUUUAUGUGGCUGUUGGUAUGCUGUGAC